AUUUAUGUUACUGUUGAAUAAGCCCCCAGUGAAUCACUAUGCUGUCUCCGCCCCUGACUAACAGAUAAUAUUACUUAUCAAACCAUCUGCACGCAGCAUGCAUAAUACCAAAAAUAUAAUACUAUUAAUAAUAACAGUCUGUAAAAGGGAACUCAUGCAAUUAAGUCGUGGUAAGCACGUGAUGCAUCUUGAGUAAUUGUUGGUAUUAUUUCCUUUUCACAAUCUGUUGGUAACAAACUCUUGUAUUUAAAUUUAAAUCAAAGUUGACUUUUUUUUUUCCUAAAAAAAAAAAAGAUGUUCUAUUUAUAUUGAUACAAUUAACACAUCAAAUAUUCCAUUUAUAUUUAUCUAUAUCAAUUAACAUAUCCAAAAUAAAUGUCUUAAUCAUUUAAAAAAAAGGAAGUUAACUAACAUACGUACGUGAAGUCUUGUCUGACAAUUAAGUUAACGAAAGUAAUUUUCAUUCAUGAUUGUUAACUACCGUACGUGAAGUCUGAAAAAAAAAAACAAACCGAGCCUGACAAUUAACAAUUAAGCCCCAUAAAAGACUAAUUAAUAAAAACACACUCAAAAUGACGUAAUUUUGUGUUUGUUUUAAAAAUA
Molecule: long non-coding RNA, 603 nt
Filed under: Citrus x clementina
Lineage: Eukaryota; Viridiplantae; Streptophyta; Magnoliopsida; Sapindales; Rutaceae
Description: Citrus clementina (C. clementina) long non-coding RNA (CCLE_LNC000063)
Source: RNAcentral